Molecule: long non-coding RNA, 462 nt
Filed under: Mytilus galloprovincialis (Mediterranean mussel)
Lineage: Eukaryota; Metazoa; Mollusca; Bivalvia; Mytilida; Mytilidae
Source: RNAcentral
CAACAAAUAUUUCUUUGACAAUUUUGACAGGCUCUACUGAACAAAAUGAUUUAAUAUUUAGCCAGAAACUUAUUAGUGAUGGCUUUUAAUGUGUGUUUUUUUUCCUGAUUUGCCAAACACAGUCAAGUUUCUGUUUGACAAUAAGUUGCACCUUGAAUUUUGAGCUGUAAUGUGGGAUAUGUGCGCAUUGCAUUUGUGCCAAUUUUUUUUUUACAAAAUCCAAUCUUUAAUUUGCGUCAAAAAAUAUAAUCUACAUCUGCGACAGUAGAAGUUAAGAUAAAGUACGGCAAAAAACACUAUAUUGGUGUAUUUGCAUUGAUUUGUAUGUUUUAUUAUCUAAUCAGUGAUGUUUUUGUAUUUUGAAAAGUUGUUAGUGAUUUGCUCUGUUAUAUUGUUUUUGUAUCAUAUUAAUCAGCUGUGAUAUUUUGUCUAAUACUGAACUGUAAUAAAAGAUAAACAGGG